CCAGCGCAGACUCCUGCACCUCCGCCCCCACCCCUGUUCCCAUGGCAAAGGGAAGGCGGCAUCCACUUACUGCUCGUGUUCAUGGCGAUGCCUCGGCACGGGUCUUUCAUUCAACACGGAGGCCCUAGUUGCCUUCUAAAUCUUCUCUUCUUGGCACCUCACGCAUCACCUGGGGGUGGGGUGGGUGAAAAGGCAGUCACUGCCAGCUCCGCUUCCUCAGGUGCUCUCUCCCGCCGCUGUCUCCUCUCAGCCUGGGCUGGCGCCACUGGCCUUGAAGGUGCUCUCUCCCGCUGCUGUCGCCGCUGAGUCUAGCUGGAGCCACUGGCCUUGAAGGUGAGUGGACUAAUAAGGCGCAGGUGAGAGCAGGGAGGAGGAGGAGGAGGAGGAGGCCGGAUGCUAACCUGGGGAGAAGGGGGGCUGCCAGUGCCUGGUCACACACCACCGCGGAGGACGGGGAACUCCUGCCCAGAGCUCUGCGAUCGGCUCAUGAACCUUGGUACUUUCUAGGGUGUCGAAUUCCAAGGCGAGCUAAGCGAAAUAGGAGAGCGGGACGUCCACGAUGCCAGCUGGUGGGUUGACGCGAGAAGCGGCGGGGGUAGCAGGGGCUUUGGGGUGGGCUGGAGGGGGACGCGGCCGCUCGCGGCUGCCACCUGCUGGACGCGCUGGCGCGUCGCUGAGGCGCCGCCCUGCCUGGGCUUCUCCCUGGCCGCUGGGUGUGCUGGCGGGACGACAGAGCCAACCAGGGUGCUUGAGCGUCUAUUCUCUCCUCGGUACUGGGGUCUAGAUUGGGAGAUAGAGUAAUUGGGAGCUGCUGUAAAGAGAGUUUUGCGGGAAGACAGUUUCCACCGCCAGCCCUGCUAACAAACAUGUUUUUUCAGUUUUAAACAGGGCACAGUUGUCUUUUCUUUUUUCAUUGGUCGCCUUCAACUGUAGAAUGUGGCGUCUGGACCCAUGGGUGAGAAGUUAGAGAUUUCUUGAGCCUGCUCUCUUAUGUCCCUGCACUCUCCAUCAGGUUAAAACUACCUUGCCUUUUACCCAACCGCUAAUUACUUUAUUGCUCUUUUAUCAUCUCUGUCCUCUGGUUUGAAACGACAGUUUUGUCUGCUGGAUUUGCUGCUGUACACCUUCCCCCCUCCCACUCUAGACUAGUGUCUGGCACAUAGUUGGUGCUUAAUAAAGUAUUUGUUAAAUGUAUGGCCCAGGUCAUCUUUAGGAUUUCUUCCACUCUCCAUGCUCCAGGCUUCUAUGAGUGUAGGCUGCAUUAUUCCUCUCCAAAAGCAGUAACUAGGGAAAUCUGAUUGUGCCCUGGCCAAGAGCCCAGGCGCUGGAUUCUGCCUGCCUGGCUCUGAAUCCUGGCUCCAUCGUUGGUGAGCUGUGUGACCUUGACUAAUUUACUCAGUCUCCCAAGAGCCUCAGCUUCUUCACCUGUUAUUUGGGGAUGAUAGUACCUACCUCAUGAGUUGUUAUGUGUUAUACGAGUAAAACCAUUGAAGUGCUACUGUAGUGCAUCUGUGUGAAGUCCUCAACGUAUGCUAAUUUUUAUCAUUGUUCACCUACCCCGGCCCUGUGUGACCAGCCCCUCAGCUCUCUUUCUACUCGCGCUGGCUGGCUCUUUCCACAGUUCAAGCCCUUCUCCUAGU
Molecule: long non-coding RNA, 1640 nt
Organism: Dasypus novemcinctus (nine-banded armadillo)
Lineage: Eukaryota; Metazoa; Chordata; Mammalia; Cingulata; Dasypodidae
Source: Ensembl